CCUGAUCCCUAAUUACUUUAACCUGCAGUUAAAUGUCAGUCUCUCUAAUUAUCUGGUUACUCCUCUCCUGAGUCCAAUAUAGCCUGCAGGUGUGCAUGGCAAUGUGGUUUGCAGGUCUGACUGACCUAGUGCACCUUUCAUUUAUUAGGCUGGCCUUUUGCAAAGUUGGUCAAACCUCUUGUGUUUUCAAGAUACUAUUAUUAAUUUGAACUCUAUUAGACGAGACUAGAUCUGAAACUUUAGCAGACUUUAGGGAAUUUCACAAAAGAGAGCCUCCUGCUUUGUUAUUCCUGUUGCAGUAACGCUGUAUACCUUUGGGGAGACCAAGUUGCAUCAAGUUCAAGGAACAGGUCUCCAUUUGCACGGUGUCUGUAGCAGAACCAGGACCAGAAUUUUUGAUCUUUGACUGUUGCCUCAGAUGCUCAGCUACUUCGUAUUCCGUGCUUUGUUUGGGUGGAAGGAGACUUCCUGAAACCUGGCACGGGUCUCUAGUGACUGGGAGCUGCUACUCUGAUGGUUAUUUAAUGGUUCAGAAGCAAGGAGCUGGUGGAAAAACUCUGCCAUUUGGUACACAAGAAGGCCUUUAUCUGAGUGAUACUGCAUAACAAUUUGCUCUACAGCUCUCAAGAAUAUCUGUGUAAAACAGAGCUCUGAAUGCUAGUGGUUCGUGUCAAAUUUAAAACAGAAA
Molecule: long non-coding RNA, 688 nt
Filed under: Anas platyrhynchos platyrhynchos (common mallard)
Lineage: Eukaryota; Metazoa; Chordata; Aves; Anseriformes; Anatidae
Description: lncRNA (ENSAPLG00000024012.1)
Source: RNAcentral